AGUGAACGCUGGCGGUAGGCCUAACACAUGCAAGUCGAACGGCAGCACAGUAAGAGCUUGCUCUUACGGGUGGCGAGUGGCGGACGGGUGAGGAAUACAUCGGAAUCUACUUUUUCGUGGGGGAUAACGUAGGGAAACUUACGCUAAUACCACAUACGACCUACGGGUGAAAGCAGGGGAUCUUCGGACCUUGCGCGAUUGAAUGAGCCGAUGUCGGAUUAGCUAGUUGGCGGGGUAAAGGCCCACCAAGGCGACGAUCCGUAGCUGGUCUGAGAGGAUGAUCAGCCACACUGGAACUGAGACACGGUCCAGACUCCUACGGGAGGCAGCAGUGGGGAAUAUUGGACAAUGGGCGCAAGCCUGAUCCAGCCAUACCGCGUGGGUGAAGAGGGCCUUCGGGUUGUAAAGCCCUUUUGUUGGGAAAGAAAAGCAGCAGGUUAAUACCCCGCUGUUCUGACGGUACCCAAAGAAUAAGCACCGGCUAACUUCGUG
This 492-nucleotide ribosomal RNA is filed under the name uncultured bacterium. RNAcentral describes it as "partial 16S ribosomal RNA". It matches the Rfam family "Bacterial small subunit ribosomal RNA", at positions 29 to 507 of the family's 1533-position model. The record is from RNAcentral.